AAACCCAUUCGUCAAGUGUAGGUACACGAGGGGCAAGUUUUUCAUUAAUACUGCUGGGUCUCUGACCCAAUGAGUGGAGUUUGAUAGUAAUCCUUGCUACAAGC
RNAcentral lists this small nucleolar RNA (104 nucleotides) under Carlito syrichta (Philippine tarsier). The record is from RNAcentral. Lineage: Eukaryota; Metazoa; Chordata; Mammalia; Primates; Tarsiidae.